RNAcentral lists this ribosomal RNA (468 nucleotides) under uncultured bacterium. RNAcentral describes it as "partial 16S ribosomal RNA". It matches the Rfam family "Bacterial small subunit ribosomal RNA", at positions 28 to 507 of the family's 1533-position model. The record is from RNAcentral.
GACGAACGCUGGCGGCGUGCUUAACACAUGCAAGUCGAACGGAAAGGCCCUGCUUUUGUGGGGUGCUCGAGUGGCGAACGGGUGAGUAACACGUGAGUAACCUGCCCUUGACUUUGGGAUAACUUCAGGAAACUGGGGCUAAUACCGGAUAGGAGCUCCUGCUGCAUGGUGGGGGUUGGAAAGUUUCGGCGGUUGGGGAUGGACUCGCGGCUUAUCAGCUUGUUGGUGGGGUAGUGGCUUACCAAGGCUUUGACGGGUAGCCGGCCUGAGAGGGUGAACGGCCACAUUGGGACUGAGAUACGGCCCAGACUCCUACGGGAGGCAGCAGUGGGGAAUAUUGCGCAAUGGGCGGAAGCCUGAUGCAGCAACGCCGCGUGCGGGAUGACGGCCUUCGGGUUGUAAACCGCUGUCGCCUGUGACGAAGCGUGAGUGACGGUAAUGGGUAAAGAAGCACCGGCUAACUACAUG